This 496-nucleotide ribosomal RNA is filed under the name uncultured bacterium. RNAcentral describes it as "partial 16S ribosomal RNA". It matches the Rfam family "Bacterial small subunit ribosomal RNA", at positions 28 to 506 of the family's 1533-position model. The record is from RNAcentral.
GAUGAACGCUGGCGGCGUGCCUAAUACAUGCAAGUCGAGCGAACGGACGAGAAGCUUGCUUCUCUGAUGUUAGCGGCGGACGGGUGAGUAACACGUGGAUAACCUACCUAUAAGACUGGGAUAACUUCGGGAAACCGUAGCUAAUACCGGAUAAUAUUUUGAACCGCAUGGUUCAAAAGUGAAAGACGGUCUUGCUGUCACUUAUAGAUGGAUCCGCGCUGCAUUAGCUAGUUGGUAAGGUAACGGCUUACCAAGGCAACGAUGCAUAGCCGACCUGAGAGGGUGAUCGGCCACACUGGAACUGAGACACGGUCCCGACUCCUACGGGAGGCAGCAGUAGGGAAUCUUCCGCAAUGGGCGAAAGCCUGACGGAGCAACGCCGCGUGAGUGAUGAAGGUCUGCGGAUCGUAAAACUCUGUUAUUAGGGAAGAACAUAUGUGUAAGUAACUGUGCACAUCUGGACGGUACCUAAGCAGAAAGCCACGGCUAACUACGU